RNAcentral lists this long non-coding RNA (1257 nucleotides) under Monodelphis domestica (gray short-tailed opossum). RNAcentral's name for it is "lncRNA (ENSMODG00000035911.2)". The record is from RNAcentral. Lineage: Eukaryota; Metazoa; Chordata; Mammalia; Didelphimorphia; Didelphidae.
AUGUGGCUCUGUGGAUCACCCUCUGUUCCUGGAUGUUCUCUCCUCUCUGGCUUUUUGUGGUACUGCUCCUUCGCCCAUCCUCCUUCCUUCUUAGCCUGUUUUGCAGAUUCUUCCUCCAUGUUAUAUUCACUGACUGGAGAACAGAACCUAAGAAAGGAGUGUUUGCUAUGGAGAGGAACCAAAGCCCAGAAUUCUGCCACUUCUCCUUUUGCUUGCAGACAUCCAAGGCCAGCACAGCCUUCAGAGUGGGUAGCAUGGAGGAAGAGGGGGGAGAUGCCAGCUGCCAGGCAGAAGCUUGAUGCUUCAGUGACUCUUGCUUUUGGCCAGAAGUCACACUAACCUGCCAUCACUUCUUCCUCCUUGUAGUCACAAUAUGAAAAGGAACCUACUUUAGCACUGUUGAUGGGCAGAGCCAGGGGAAGACAAAGACACAUUCAAGGAGCUGCCCUCAUCUAGAUCUUCUAUAGCCAAACCUCCUUCCUCUUCUCAUACUCCUGUAGGACACCUUAUCCCAAGUGACCCUUCCCUCCUCCGGCUUGGAGUUGGGCUCAAAUGCAUAUAGCAGGAAGUCAGACUAGGACUUUAGAGCACUAAAUUGUUUCCCCAUGACAGCCUUCUCUUCUGUUUUGUUUUCUUUUUUUAAUGCAAAGCUGCAUAUGAAUAGACUGAACCAAAAAUUAUGGAAGCCAACAAAAGUGGUUGUCACAGAGCAGACACUCAAGAAUGCUAUGAAUGAAUGAGUAGAUAAAGAAGGAAACUCCAGGUCUGUGGAGAAGUGUUAGGAAAUUCAUUCAGAGGUCAACACUCUCUUGAAAAGGGUUAAGGGGAGAGCAUCAACAAAGGAUACAUUGCAGCCGUCAUGGACGUGGAAUUUAUAGAUUGUCACAGAACCUGCUCCCCAUCUCCCAUCUGGUAGGGCAAAGUCUUCAGUGUCUCACUGAUGGGGAAAUCCUAACCAGAGUGACUCAGAGGGCUCUUGUCUUCCUAGGCCUCCGAUGACAGACAGAAAGAGGGUUGCUGAAACAGUAAGAGUUGCAUUGGCAGACUUCCCUCACUGCAGUCAGAGUAGCUAAAGAUAGGCAAUGACCUUCUAGCAACAGCUUUGCUUCCAGGGACAGAGGCAGCCCUCCAGGAAGAAGACCAUGAUCCAGAGGCCAAAAAAGAAAGGAACAUGUUCUCCUCUUUUGACAAAAACCUAGCUCCUUGGGUUCUUUCAGCUAGCCCUGGAUGAGAAUAAAAAAUUUCCAUCUGGGGACA